UGUUUAUGUGUGUGUAUAUAUAUGUAUGUGUAUACACACACACACACACACACACACACACAUGCACACACACACUCACAGACAUA
This 86-nucleotide microRNA precursor is filed under the name Mustela putorius furo (domestic ferret). RNAcentral's name for it is "miRNA (ENSMPUG00000023438.1)". Lineage: Eukaryota; Metazoa; Chordata; Mammalia; Carnivora; Mustelidae. The record is from RNAcentral.